CCGGCCCAGCCCGCUAUGAGUGAGGCGUGUUCCCAGGGCCCGUACAACAUGGAACAGCUGCGGCGCUGAAGCGUGUAGCUACUUGGGAUUUGAGAAAUGGAUUCCACAUUAAUUUAAAUGCCUGUUUUCCUUUGCAUAUAGUAAAAAGUCUUCCCUAGAAGACUGGUCACACAGA
Chelonoidis abingdonii (Abingdon island giant tortoise) is the source of this 175-nucleotide non-coding RNA. NCBI's taxonomy places the organism in Eukaryota, Metazoa, Chordata, Testudines, Testudinidae. The record is from RefSeq and is a predicted model, not a curated record.